UUAAACAUUAAGUUGUUAAUAACUUUAAAAUCAUCCUACUGAUUUUGUGGUUUAUAUUUGGAUUAUAAGAUAAAGACAAUUAACUAGACAAGUGCUUAAAGUGUGCAUAACAAAAGCACAAAAAUGUCCGCAAAAUCGCGCACAUAUUUGAUAUAGUCAAAAAUCAUAAACUAAAUAUGAUAAAUGUAUCAAUUAACAUGUUCCCAGUAAGAUAACAAUGAGAACAAAAUCUUUUAACAAAACAUCAUUAAAAAAAUAGAAGACGUUGUGUUAACAAACAUAGAUAAGAUACUUAAACACAACAUCAUCAUUAAACUAUAUGUAUGAUACUCUAACACAAUAUCAUCACAAACUAACUAUAAGAUAUAAGAGAGAUGUCUUAAAUACUCUCAACAUCUUUAAGCUCUUCAUAUGUGUGAGAGAUUGCUCCACUUAAUUUCUUACACAAUUAGGUUUGUUACUUUUCAUCAUUUUAAAAUCUUUUCAAUUGAAAGUAAGUUUUUGUAUACAUUUGAUCAAAUAUUUUCAAACUGAUUAUAAACCUAAAUUUGAUAAUUUG
This 559-nucleotide small RNA is filed under the name Arabidopsis thaliana (thale cress). Its description in RNAcentral is "ATSL220700". Lineage: Eukaryota; Viridiplantae; Streptophyta; Magnoliopsida; Brassicales; Brassicaceae. The record is from RNAcentral.